RNAcentral lists this small RNA (939 nucleotides) under uncultured fungus. Its description in RNAcentral is "eukaryotic LSU rRNA". The stretch from base 508 to 939 matches the Rfam family "Eukaryotic large subunit ribosomal RNA", at positions 1 to 429 of the family's 3401-position model. The record is from RNAcentral. Lineage: Eukaryota; Fungi.
UCCGUAGGUGAACCUGCUGAAGGAUCAUUAGUGAAUUGAGCUGGCUUCGGCCGCUCUGAUCUAUACACACCUGUGAACUGUUGGCCUUCGGGUCUUUAAAUACAACUGUGACGAACGUAAAUUAUUAUAACAAAUAAAACUUUUAACAACGGAUCUCUUGGCUCUCGCAUCGAUGAAGAACGCAGCGAAAUGCGAUAAGUAAUGUGAAUUGCAGAAUUCAGUGAAUCAUCGAAUCUUUGAACGCACCUUGCGCCCGUUGGUAUUCCGACGGGCAUGCCUGUUUGAGUGUCGUGAACAACCUCAACCUUGAUUGGUUUUACCAUCAAGGCUUGGACUUGGGUGUUGCUGCUGCAAAGUGGCUCGCCUUAAAUCUAUUAGCUGGACUUGUCUAUGACUUGGUUCGACUCGAUGUAAUAAGUAUUCAUCGGGGACAGGGUAACACCUGGCCAAGGCUUGAUGCCGUCUGCUUCUAAUCAUGUUCUCACUAUGAGACGCUACUUUACUGUGUGGCCUCAAAUCAGGUAGGAUUACCCGCUGAACUUAAGCAUAUCAAUAAGCGGAGGAAAAGAAACUAACAAGGAUUCCCCUAGUAACGGCGAGUGAAGCGGGAUGAGCUCAAAUUUGUAAUCUGGUGGGCUCAGUUCAUCCGAAUUGUAAUCUAUAGAAAAGUUUUCCGCGCUGGACCGUGUCUAAGUCCCUUGGAACAGGGUGUCAGAGAGGGUGAGAAUCCCGUGCUUGAUACGACCACCAGUGCUAUGUGAUACUUUUUCAACGAGUCGAGUUGUUUGGAAUGCAGCUCAAAAGGGGUGGUAAAUUCCAUCUAAAGCUAAAUAUUGGCGAGAGACCGAUAGCGAACAAGUACCGUGAGGGAAAGAUGAAAAGCAUUUUGAAAGAGAGUUAAACAGUACGUGAAAUUGUUAAAAGGGAAACGCUUGAAGU